CACGGGGGGAGCAAACGGUGUUCGGAAUCACGGGGCGUAAAGGGCGUGUAGGCGGUCAGGUAAGUGGGAUGUGAAAUGCCCCGGCUCACCCGGGGACCGGCAUCCCAAACUGCCUGGCUUGAGUAUGGGAGAGGAUGAGGGAAUUCCUGGUGUAGCGGUGAAAUGCGUAGAUAUCAGGAGGAACACCGGUGGCGAAGGCGUUCAUCUGGCCCAAUACUGACGCUGAGGCGCGAAAGCUAGGAGAGCAAACGGG
RNAcentral lists this ribosomal RNA (253 nucleotides) under uncultured bacterium. RNAcentral describes it as "partial 16S ribosomal RNA". It matches the Rfam family "Bacterial small subunit ribosomal RNA", at positions 524 to 776 of the family's 1533-position model. The record is from RNAcentral.